This 562-nucleotide ribosomal RNA is filed under the name uncultured bacterium. RNAcentral describes it as "bacterial SSU rRNA". It matches the Rfam family "Bacterial small subunit ribosomal RNA", at positions 359 to 917 of the family's 1533-position model. The record is from RNAcentral.
GGAUUGAAAUGGGGGCACCCUGAUCCAGCCAUNCCGCGUGAGUGAAGAAGGCCUUCGGGUUGUAAAGCUCUUUCGGUGGGAACGAAACGGUUACCACUAAUACUGGUGACUACCGACGGUACUCACAGAAGAAGCACCGGCUAACUACGUGCCAGCAGCCGCGGUAAUACGUAGGGUGCGAGCGUUAAUCGGAAUUACUGGGCGUAAAGCGUGCGCAGGCGGUGGCUCAAGCCAGGCGUGAAAUCCCCGGGCUUAACCUGGGAAUGGCGUUUGGGACUGGGUCGCUAGAGUGUGGCAGAGGGAGGUGGAAUUCCACGUGUAGCAGUGAAAUGCGUAGAGAUGUGGAGGAACACCGAUGGCGAAGGCAGCCUCCUGGGCCAGCACUGACGCUCAUGCACGAAAGCGUGGGGAGCAAACAGGAUUAGAUACCCUGGUAGUCCACGCCCUAAACGAUGUCAACUGGUUGUUGGGGAAGGAAACUUCCUUAGUAACGAAGCUAACGCGUGAAGUUGACCGCCUGGGGAGUACGGCCGCAAGGUUAAAACUCAAAAAAAUUGACGGA